AUUGAACGCUGGCGGCAGGCCUAACACAUGCAAGUCGAGCGAAUGAAGGGAGCUUGCUCCUGGAUUCAGCGGCGGACGGGUGAGUAAUGCCUAGGAAUCUGCCUGGUAGUGGGGGAUAACGUCCGGAAACGGGCGCUAAUACCGCAUACGUCCUGAGGGAGAAAGUGGGGGAUCUUCGGACCUCACGCUAUCAGAUGAGCCUAGGUCGGAUUAGCUAGUUGGUGGGGUAAAGGCCUACCAAGGCGACGAUCCGUAACUGGUCUGAGAGGAUGAUCAGUCACACUGGAACUGAGACACGGUCCAGACUCCUACGGGAGGCAGCAGUGGGGAAUAUUGGACAAUGGGCGAAAGCCUGAUCCAGCCAUGCCGCGUGUGUGAAGAAGGUCUUCGGAUUGUAAGGCACUUUAAGUUGGGAGGAAGGGCAGUAAGUUAAUACCUUGCUGUUUUGACGUUACCAACAGAAUAAGCACCGGCUAACUUCGUG
RNAcentral lists this ribosomal RNA (484 nucleotides) under uncultured bacterium. RNAcentral's name for it is "partial 16S ribosomal RNA". It matches the Rfam family "Bacterial small subunit ribosomal RNA", at positions 30 to 507 of the family's 1533-position model. The record is from RNAcentral.